This 810-nucleotide unclassified non-coding RNA is filed under the name Zea mays. Its description in RNAcentral is "misc RNA Zm00001eb003410". Lineage: Eukaryota; Viridiplantae; Streptophyta; Magnoliopsida; Poales; Poaceae. The record is from RNAcentral.
GGAGAAGAAGCGAUUUCGACAAAAAGCGAGGCCAGAGAUACGCUAGUGUCCUCUCCUGCUUCCAUGCCGGUGGUGACAUACUGACAUCUCAUACUUCCAUGCCGGUGGUGACAUCUCCUAUUUCCAUGCCGUUGACGACAUCAACCACCGGCAGAGAUACGCUAGUGUCCUCUCCUGCUUCCAUGCCGGUGGCGACAUCUCAUACUUCCAUACCGGUGGUGACAUCUCCUAUUUCCACGCCGGUGGCGACAUCAACCACCGGCGGUGACAAGUCCAUCUGUAACCUGUUGUACCUAGAAACCAUGGGAAAACCUUUCAUCUCUGCAGGCGACGUCGCCCAGCGCAAGGGAAAACGCCGCCACGACGACGCGGCUCGCACGGCUAUGCCGGACGACAAGGGCGAAGAGAAAAAGGCUAAGAUCGAUAAGGCGGUCCGCGGCUCGAGCCUCUGGACGCGCCGCCGUGCUAACACCGCAACGACGUCAGACCUCGUGAUUCGUGUGCCUGAGCGCGAGUCUCGCUUCUGCAUGCUUCAAGACUGUUGUGCCUCCUCCUGCUGCGGCAGUAUUCAUGGCAGUAAGUGGCGGCUUCAGAAGAGAAGCAAGAUUGAGGCUAAAUAAUCCAAGUCUGAACUUGCGGGUAAUUAGAUCAAGUAAUAAAAAAACACAAAGUAAUACUAGCGUCAUAUUCUUUGCUUUGGAUGUGAGCCAUGUUGAUUUGAUGCCUGGAGUUCUGAUCAAGGUUUUUGUUUUUUUGGUUGUUUGGUUUGGAUCUUUGUUAUAAUCUUAAAUAAAUGACUAUCGUGUUGAU